AAGAAGAACUAGAAAGAGCAUGCAAUAAAUUAAUCAUUUUUAAGAUAUAGAAAUACUUACAGCGAACUCUGCCGCUUUUGGAUAUAUCGGUGUUGUUAUAACUUUAGGAAGUCCGUCUUUAUUUGUAAAUCUACAGGAAUGAAUGCAACUACAUGGUCGAUGCAUAUUUACGUUUACUCUGUUCUCGCUAGCAAACAUGGUACAAACUGAUCACAGAAGCAAAAGAAGUAUUUGCGUCAUUUGUCCAACCCUCAUUAGUUAAUCGACUGGUCUUCAGUUUCAGGAUUGUGAAUAUUUCAACUAUCGUAUCUCCUAUAGAACAUCAUCUGUAGCACUCGACUGACGGUAAGUGCGAAAAAGUCACAGAUGUCACAGUUAUUUUUAAUAACUUACACCUUACAUAUUAAUCUUUUUUAUUAUGUUUAAAAUAGCAUUAUUCUUUGCUUAUUAACUUUU
Molecule: unclassified non-coding RNA, 456 nt
Filed under: Melitaea cinxia (Glanville fritillary)
Lineage: Eukaryota; Metazoa; Arthropoda; Insecta; Lepidoptera; Nymphalidae
Description: misc RNA ENSMCXG00005018319.1
Source: RNAcentral